UUCCUAAUAAUUUCAGUCUGCAUCAGAUUUCAUUUCUUGAAAUUCUUCUAAUCUCCACUCAGCUUCGCACAAGAGAACUAGUAAAAUAGCCUUCUUGCUGGUUUUAAGGUUGGUUCUCAGUCUAAACUUCAGCCACUUUAACAAAUUUAGUUUUAAUUGUUCUUAAAAUACUGAUGCAACUUUGGUAACUGUGAUGAGUGAGUUUUUUAGGUGUCUGUACAGAUGUCUUGAACAACACCCAUAAAAAGGAAAAUUCCUGUUCUGACUAGCCUGUUGCAACUGAAUAGUAACAAAGAGAAAUAAUGCAAGAUUAUAGGAAUUUGCACUAAUUGCUUGCAUAAGUUUAUGUGAUUUUGAACAAUCCUUCUCAUUUUAAUCCUUGUUUAAAGACAGAACAUGCCCUGCCAAAGCACGUUUUGGUGGGUUUUUUUCUUUUCCUCAUCCUGUGAUCGAAUUGUUCCAUAAUUGCAGCUAUUUGUCUCUGAAACUCAAAUUAGAAGACCUAGAAAGAGAAGAAAUGUGGGAGAAGACAUGAAUAAAGCAGUGUGAUGUAUUCAGUGUUCAAGUCCCUGUGAAGGGUGAAGUCUGUACACCAAAACAACCCAAAGCUGCAUUGGAAGGAUACUGUAAGAGGGGAAAAUGUGGAAAAAUACUUCGUAUAUGUCUAUGAGAUUUGGGACUGAGGUUUUGUGCCUCAAACACAGGCAUGAUUAUAAUUUGAAAUGAGCUGCUGCUUCUGCUGGAUGUAUUUCUAUGUUAACUGCUGAAAGAUGGGUGCUUGCUUUUACAUUCACUGCAAGAGAACAGGAUGAGUGCUCUUACUGUGCGUGGCGGUCACCCACAAGUAUGGGAACCUACUCAG
Molecule: long non-coding RNA, 862 nt
Organism: Harpia harpyja (harpy eagle)
Lineage: Eukaryota; Metazoa; Chordata; Aves; Accipitriformes; Accipitridae
Exons: 3
Source: RefSeq, a predicted model, not a curated record